AUUGUCUUGGCAGAAUAGUGCUUUAAAUUUAGAAUUUAAUUAUAUAUUGAUUCAAUAUAGUCAAUA
Molecule: transfer RNA, 66 nt
Filed under: Lepinotus reticulatus
Lineage: Eukaryota; Metazoa; Arthropoda; Insecta; Psocodea; Trogiidae
Description: tRNA-Leu
Source: RNAcentral